UUCAUGAACGGCAGCGGUACAUGGGUGGGCUUCCAGAUCCAGCGGCCUCACCAUCACCACCCGACACGAGGACACGCGACGACUGACUAGGCGAGGGGAGCAGUCGGCGGGCGAUGGUCGGCGGCGGCGCACAUGGCGGCACCACCUACAAAGGCUACACCAUCCCGCACAACAAGCGCUGGCACACCGUCGCCGGCAAGGGCCUCUGCGCUGUGAUGUGGUUCUGGGUCUUCUACAGGGCUAAGCAGGAUGGUGCUACGCUCUUGGGUUUGCGUCAUCCUUGGGAUGGGCAUGAUGACCACUCUCAUGGUCAUGGACAUGGGAAUGAGGUAGGAGACCAUCUGAUCCCUUCUAUUUACUUAGCAUUACAGAAUGCAUUCUUUUAGCUUGUUUUGUUAAUGAAUUGCUGUUUGACUCCUGUCAAUUUGCAAUCUUAUUUUCAUUUUCAUUUGAUGUUUUUUUAUUCCCCCGUGGCAGUUUUUUUAUGUGUUAUACUUUUGAAAAAUUACUAACAUAAGAAGAAAUUAUGCCUGGUGACCUAAAUAUUUGUUUCUGCAAAUAUCACUUUGUGGAUUAUGGUGAGAAAAAUACAUGUUUCGAAUGUAUGAGUGUUGCAUGAUCAUUUCAAUGUAUUAUAAUAUGGUGCUUUAAUUGGUAAGUCUAACACCUCACGAAAUAGUUGAUCAGCUUAGUCUGUUCUUUAUUGUGUAAACAUGCUUUCCCUUUUGUUUGCAUUGGGUUGGGGGAGUGUGACUGGUAAUUCCCAGAUAUUAUCAAGUGUUUUUAUUUGCCAUGUUUGCUUAAUACUUAUAUCGUGCACGUUUAAGGAUUUAUACUUUCUAGCACUAAACUGUGUAUGAUGUUCUGACUGGAAAUUAAUAAAAACUGCAGAAAACAAAGAAUCAUUUGCUUACACUGAUCCACCGUGCUAUUCCAGUCUUAUUUAAAAGAAAUAAAGAAACUAGAGAUGUCAAUGGGGACCCGAUACCCGCCAACCCGUGGGGAAUUCCCUUAUUAGGGUACGGGUAUGAGACGAAAAUUGUCCCCAUGGGUAUGGAUAUGGGACAAAAUCUCCACUCAUUGGGUAAACGGGUAUGAGUUUGGGAAGCAAUAAUCCGAACCCGAUUACCCAUGGGUAUUUCAUACGUGUACACCUGUCGUGUUUGUAUGAAUGAGUUGAGCCGAGUCGGCCACCAAGCCCAGCACGACAGCGCACCAGGCCCUAGGUCCUAGCCCAACAAGGCAACUAGCAUAGCAGACUAGUAAAAAACAAAACCCUAAAAUAACCAGUCAUAUGCUACGCCCUACCAAGAUGACGGUGACGACCAUGGAUUCUCAUGCGCCAACGAACUCAGAUGGUGACCAAGGAAGAGAUCGUGACAUUAAGUUGCCUACUCUCGGCGGACGGUGAUUUGAUGCUUUGCAUGUCACAACAACUAAAGAUUGAGUUAAUAAAUUCUAUCACCCUUCAUGGUACUCAUGUUGUAUGCAACUGGUUUAGCACAAACUGGUUUCGUUACGAUUGUGCUUAUGUAUUUGAUUUGAAGCAUCGGUUAUGUGGAAAAGAAUCUGGUUUAUGUUGAUAGUUCAGUACAUUGCUUUGCU
RNA transcript from Zea mays, 1605 nucleotides. It is a transcript of the gene named NADH dehydrogenase [ubiquinone] 1 beta subcomplex subunit 2, with no coding region annotated. The transcript is spliced from 4 exons. The record is from RefSeq and is marked validated. Lineage: Eukaryota; Viridiplantae; Streptophyta; Magnoliopsida; Poales; Poaceae.